This is a non-coding RNA of Fragariocoptes setiger, 1021 nucleotides long. The record is from the annotation of a GenBank genome assembly. Lineage: Eukaryota; Metazoa; Arthropoda; Arachnida; Trombidiformes; Phytoptidae.
ACAUAUAAAAUUUUAAAAUUUUUAAAAAAUUAAAUUAAAAAAAAAUACCUUUUGUAUUAGGAACUUUCCAAAAUAAUCAAAAAAAGUCUCGAAAAUUUUAAAACUAGACCAAAAUAAAAAUUAUAAAAAAAAAACAAUUUUGGUUUAAAGGCCAUAUACCAUACUAAAAUAUAUAGCUAGAAUAAAAGUAAUAAAAGAAUAAAAUCCUUUAUAAUAUCAAUAUAAUAAAAAAAUUUUUUUAACAAAAAAUAAUUAAAGAAGAUUUAAAACAAAAAUUAUAUCAAUUAACCAAAAUAUAUAAUAAACAUUCUUUCAGUAAAAAAAAAAAUGAAAGCACUAUUAAAAAAAACUAAUUUAAUUUUCUCAAAAUUUUUACUAGUAAAAAUAUAAACUCUAAUUAAGAACUAGACCAAAUUUAAAUGGAAUGUUUAUCAAAAACACUUCCUAUAAACAUAUAGGUAAAUCUGCACAAUGCUUAAAGUAAAUAGCCGCCAAAGCGCUAAGGUAGCGUAAUAAAAAGUCUUUUAAUUGAAGACCAGUAUGAAAGAAAAAACCACUUAAAAUUUUCUUAUAAGAUUAUUUUAACCUAAAAGAUUAAAAAAUAAAAUCAAAGUUUUGUAAGACGAGAAGACCCUGAAACUUGACUAAACUAAUAGUUUUCUGGGGCAGAAAAUAAACAAUAAUUAUUAUUAUUAAUAAUAAAAAAACCCAAAAUAGGAAUAAAGUACUUCAGGGAUAACAGAGUAAUUAAUUUCAAUAGACCUUAUAUAAAAAAUAGAUUUCGACCUCGAUGUUGGAUUAGGGAAUCUAUCUUCCGCAAUAGGAAGAAAAGAAUGACUGUUCGUCAAUUCAACCCCUACAUGAUCUGAGUUCAGAUCGGCGAAAGCCAGAUCGGUUUUUAUCUACAAAAAAAUAAUUUACCCAACAGUACGAAAGGACAAUGGGUUAGGGAAAUUUCGAGUAAAAUACUCUAAAUUAUUUUACCCCCCCCUCCCUUACCCUAACCAUUAAAUAUUGUACU